GGGCCAACACAAGUGGUGGAGCAUGUUGUUUAAUGCGAAAAUACGCGCGAAACCUUACCAGUUCUUGACAGUGUGUUAAGUGACGAAAAAAUAGCUUUUUUGUCCUCUUUAUAGUAAGAAUUUUCACACACAGGUGUUGCAUGGCUGUCGUCAGCUCGUGUUGUGAAAUGUUAGAUUAAUUUCUUAAACGAGCGCAACCCCUACUUUUAGUUGCCAGUGUUUGUUGUUCCAAACAGGAACUCUAAAAGAACUGCUAGUGGAUAAGCUAGAGGAAGGUGGGGAUAACGUCAAGUCCUCAUGGCCCUUAUGAACUGGGCUACAAACGUGCUACAAUGAAAACUACAAAAAGAGCAAUAGUGUUUAAGCUGGAGCAAAUCUCUAAAAGUUUUCUUAGUUCGGAUUGUGGGCUGAAACUCGCCACAUGAAGUUGGAAUCACUAGUAAUCGUAGAUC
Molecule: ribosomal RNA, 452 nt
Filed under: uncultured bacterium
Lineage: Bacteria
Description: bacterial SSU rRNA
Rfam family: Bacterial small subunit ribosomal RNA
Source: RNAcentral